Molecule: non-coding RNA, 667 nt
Organism: Theobroma cacao (cacao)
Lineage: Eukaryota; Viridiplantae; Streptophyta; Magnoliopsida; Malvales; Malvaceae
Source: RefSeq, a predicted model, not a curated record
GAAAAAUUAUGGAAAUUUCAAGGAAUCAAGCAAGAUAAGGUGGUGAGCUAUUUGAUAAGGAUAAAGAGAUUACACCAAAGACCGGGACUAAGAGUAUUUCUACUCCUGAUACUGGAGAUGCGGAAGCUGAUGCUAAGCCUUGCGGGGUUCCGAUCGGUAUUUCGGGUAACGAGUGCCAUCGAGAUGUCGCGGCGGUUGUCACGGGCCUGAUGGGAGUUCCGGGUCAUGACAGUAUACAAGGAAGCUUUUGACUCAUUCUGAAGUAGGAUAAAACACAUUUUUAAACUUAAACCCUAGAGUACAGCUCCAAGAUCUUUAUUUCUCUUUUGCACUCAAAUCUUAUUCUUUUUUCAAGCAUUCAAAGCCAUCUAUUGUUGUUCACUGAGUUGAUAUUUUGUACCCUUUUUAUUGAAAGCUUCAACACUAGCUCAUCAGCCAUUGAGAAGCAUUUAUUACUAUUCUUUUGUACACGCUUUUGUAAAGGUUCUAAUUUAGCCUUGAAAAGUUAGUAAGGGUUUUUAGUUGAGCCCACUAAAAACCAUUGUGAGGGUUAUUGCUUGAUCCCAUGAAUAAGCAUUUGUAAAGGUUUAUGCUUCAUCCUAUUUUAAAAAGCAAAUUCCUUUAAUGGAUUUGAAACUCCUUAGGCACCAAGGGAGAGGAUGUAGGU